UACGAAGGGGGCUAGCGUUGCUCGGAAUCACUGGGCGUAAAGCGCACGUAGGCGGGUCUUUAAGUCAGGGGUGGAAUCCCGGAGCUCAACUCCGGAACUGCCUUUGAUACUGGGGAUCUUGAGUCCGGAAGAGGUGAGUGGAACUCCGAGUGUAGAGGUGAAAUUCGUAGAUAUUCGGAAGAACACCAGUGGCGAAGGCGGCUCACUGGUCCGGUACUGACGCUGAGGUGCGAAAGCGUGGGGAGCAAACAGG
RNAcentral lists this ribosomal RNA (253 nucleotides) under uncultured bacterium. RNAcentral describes it as "partial 16S ribosomal RNA". It matches the Rfam family "Bacterial small subunit ribosomal RNA", at positions 524 to 776 of the family's 1533-position model. The record is from RNAcentral.